GGGCACGACACCGGAGAGGGAGCCUGAGAAACGGCUACCACAUCCAAGGAUGGCAGCAGGCGCGCAAAUUACCCAAUCCCGACACGGGGAGGUAGUGACAAUAAAUAACAAUACGGGGUUCUUUAGGAUCUCGUAAUUGGAAUGAGUACAAUUUAAAUCUCUUAACGAGGAACAAUUGGAGGGCAAGUCUGGUGCCAGCAGCCGCGGUAAUUCCAGCUCCAAUAGCGUAUAUUAAAGUUGUUGCAGUUAAAAAGCUCGUAGUUGAAUUUCGGGGUUAGUAGGUUGGUCAUGCCUCUGGUAUGUACUGGUCUCACUGAUUCCUCCUUCCUGAUGAACCGUAAUGCCAUUAAUUUGGUGUUGCGGGGAAUUUGGACUGUUACUUUGAAAAAAUUAGAGUGUUUAAAGCAAGCUAACGCUUGAAUACAUUAGCAUGGAAUAAUGAAAUAGGACGUUCGAUCCUAUUUUGUUGGUUUCUAGGAUUGACGUAAUGAUUAAUAGGGAUAGUUGGGGGCAUUAGUAUUCAAUUGUCAGAGGUGAAAUUCUUGGAUUUAUUGAAGACUAACUACUGCGAAAGCNUUUGCCAAGGAUGUUUUCAUUAAUCAAGAACGAAAGUUAGGGGAUCGAAGACGAU
This 631-nucleotide ribosomal RNA is filed under the name uncultured Glomeromycotina. RNAcentral describes it as "SSU rRNA". It matches the Rfam family "Eukaryotic small subunit ribosomal RNA", at positions 373 to 1008 of the family's 1831-position model. Lineage: Eukaryota; Fungi; Glomeromycota. The record is from RNAcentral.